This 468-nucleotide ribosomal RNA is filed under the name uncultured bacterium. Its description in RNAcentral is "partial 16S ribosomal RNA". It matches the Rfam family "Bacterial small subunit ribosomal RNA", at positions 28 to 507 of the family's 1533-position model. The record is from RNAcentral.
GACGAACGCUGGCGGCGUGCUUAACACAUGCAGGUCGAACGGAAAGGCCCUGCUUUUGUGGGGUGCUCGAGUGGCGAACGGGUGAGUAACACGUGAGUAACCUGCCCUUGACUUUGGGAUAACUUCAGGAAACUGGGGCUAAUACCGGAUAGGAGCUCCUGCUGCAUGGUGGGGGUUGGAAAGUUUCGGCGGUUGGGGAUGGACUCGCGGCUUAUCAGCUUGUUGGUGGGGUAGUGGCUUACCAAGGCUUUGACGGGUAGCCGGCCUGAGAGGGUGACCGGCCACAUUGGGACUGAGAUACGGCCAAGACGCCUACGGGAGGCAGCAGUGGGGAAUAUUGCACAAUGGGCGGAAGCCUGAUGCAGCAACGCCGCGUGCGGGAUGACGGCCUUCGGGUUGUAAACCGCUUUCGCCUGUGACGAAGCGUGAGUGACGGUAAUGGGUAAAGAAGCACCGGCUAACUACGUG